This 441-nucleotide ribosomal RNA is filed under the name uncultured bacterium. RNAcentral's name for it is "partial 16S ribosomal RNA". It matches the Rfam family "Bacterial small subunit ribosomal RNA", at positions 28 to 507 of the family's 1533-position model. The record is from RNAcentral.
GAUGAACGCUGGCGGCGUGCCUAAUACAUGCAAGUCGAACGGGGAGUAGCAAUACUCUUAGUGGCGAACGGGUGAGUAACGCGUUGGUACCUGCCCCGAAGCGGGGGAUAACGGACCGAAAGGUCCGCUAAUACCCCAUGUGCUCGGUAACGAGUAAAGGUGAAAACCACUUUGGGAGGGGCCUGCGUCCCAUCAGCUAGUUGGUAAGGUAACGGCUUACCAAGGCGAUGACGGGUAGGGGACCUGAGAGGGUGGCCCCCCACAAUGGAACUGAAACACGGUCCAUACACCUACGGGUAGCAGCAGUAGGGAAUAUUGGUAAUGGGCGCAAGCCUGAACCAGCAACGCCGCGUGUGCGAUGACGGCCUUCGGGUUGUAAAGCACUUUUGACUGGGACGAGGAAGGACGGUACCGGUCGAAUCAGCCUCGGCUAACUACGUG